AAGAAACUUGAAGGCAGCUUCCACCGCCCUGGGAGGCUUUCUGGAGUUUUUGAUUGUUUGUUUUUAAUCGAAGUCCGACAGAUUUUGACCCCCACUGAGGUCCUCAACUCCGCUUUUUCGACUCCCAACAGAGACCUGUCCACUUGCUCCUCAACAAGCCAGGCUGGAUCAGCCCAACGCUGCAGUGUGGCAGGAAAGACUGGCCUGGCAAAUACCUGACUGUCGUUUCCUUAACUGUGGAAAUAUUCAUGGUCACAGCUUUCGCCUUGUGUCUGGGCGUUGUUGCCCCUUUGAAGACAGAAUGCAUUCUUGCGUCUCUGAGGCGCUCUAACAGGCUUAGGACGCUGCUCUCCUUUAGGACAAACCGACUGCCAUAACAAAACUGGUCACACAUCAGGAGCACUUCUAGGGGCAAGCGAUCUGAGAGACACCCAAGAGGCCUAUGGCAACCUGGCCCACCUCACUUUAGGCCCCGAGAUAUAUCCAAAGCUACACCUCCUUCCCCCCAGCUAGACAGGGAUCUCAGAAGUAUGGUUUCAGCCAUCAAAUUUGCUGAAAUUCUUGGCGAGUAAAGGGGCCAGGCUGUCCUGCGUUUUUAAACCGUUUUCCUCCUGCUCAAGCUGGGCAGAAAAGGAUGUAAAGAUGCGCAGUCUACCUUUCAGUUUAAUCACCCGCUACACACAUUCCCCCAAUGUCUACGUACGGCCUUGCU
This 712-nucleotide long non-coding RNA is filed under the name Marmota monax (woodchuck). The record is from RNAcentral. Lineage: Eukaryota; Metazoa; Chordata; Mammalia; Rodentia; Sciuridae.